GUUAAAACACCAGUUUCCGUGUGAUCAAUGAAGUUAAGCAACGUCUAUCCUGGUCAGUACCUAGAUGGGUGACCUCUUGGGAAUACCAUCUGCUGUAA
Molecule: non-coding RNA, 98 nt
Organism: Acanthosepion pharaonis
Lineage: Eukaryota; Metazoa; Mollusca; Cephalopoda; Sepiida; Sepiidae
Source: the annotation of a GenBank genome assembly